ACGCUCGACACCUACGGAGGCAGCAGUUGGGAAUAUUGGACAAUGGAGGAAACUCUGAUCCAGUGACGCCGCGUGAAGGAAGAAGGUCUUCGGAUUGUAAACUUAUUUUGUCAGGGAAGAAAAAUGACUGUACCUGAAGAAAAAGCACCGGCUAACUACGUGCCAGCAGCCGCGGUAAUCUGAGCGGGCUGGCAAGGC
This 198-nucleotide ribosomal RNA is filed under the name uncultured bacterium. RNAcentral describes it as "partial 16S ribosomal RNA". It matches the Rfam family "Bacterial small subunit ribosomal RNA", at positions 328 to 539 of the family's 1533-position model. The record is from RNAcentral.